Molecule: ribosomal RNA, 1502 nt
Filed under: Lactiplantibacillus pentosus
Lineage: Bacteria; Bacillati; Bacillota; Bacilli; Lactobacillales; Lactobacillaceae
Description: bacterial SSU rRNA
Rfam family: Bacterial small subunit ribosomal RNA
Source: RNAcentral
GGCUUAGACGACGCUGGCGGCGUGCCUAAUACAUGCAAGUCGAACGAACUCUGGUAUUGAUUGGUGCUUGCAUCAUGAUUUACAUUUGAGUGAGUGGCGAACUGGUGAGUAACACGUGGGAAACCUGCCCAGAAGCGGGGGAUAACACCUGGAAACAGAUGCUAAUACCGCAUAACAACUUGGACCGCAUGGUCCGAGUUUGAAAGAUGGCUUCGGCUAUCACUUUUGGAUGGUCCCGCGGCGUAUUAGCUAGAUGGUGGGGUAACGGCUCACCAUGGCAAUGAUACGUAGCCGACCUGAGAGGGUAAUCGGCCACAUUGGGACUGAGACACGGCCCAAACUCCUACGGGAGGCAGCAGUAGGGAAUCUUCCACAAUGGACGAAAGUCUGAUGGAGCAACGCCGCGUGAGUGAAGAAGGGUUUCGGCUCGUAAAACUCUGUUGUUAAAGAAGAACAUAUCUGAGAGUAACUGUUCAGGUAUUGACGGUAUUUAACCAGAAAGCCACGGCUAACUACGUGCCAGCAGCCGCGGUAAUACGUAGGUGGCAAGCGUUGUCCGGAUUUAUUGGGCGUAAAGCGAGCGCAGGCGGUUUUUUAAGUCUGAUGUGAAAGCCUUCGGCUCAACCGAAGAAGUGCAUCGGAAACUGGGAAACUUGAGUGCAGAAGAGGACAGUGGAACUCCAUGUGUAGCGGUGAAAUGCGUAGAUAUAUGGAAGAACACCAGUGGCGAAGGCGGCUGUCUGGUCUGUAACUGACGCUGAGGCUCGAAAGUAUGGGUAGCAAACAGGAUUAGAUACCCUGGUAGUCCAUACCGUAAACGAUGAAUGCUAAGUGUUGGAGGAGUUUCCGCCCUUCAGUGCUGCAGCUAACGCAUUAAGCAUUCCGCCUGGGGAGUACGGCCGCAAGGCUGAAACUCAAAGGAAUUGACGGGGGCCCGCACAAGCGGUGGAGCAUGUGGUUUAAUUCGAAGCUACGCGAAGAACCUUACCAGGUCUUGACAUACUAUGCAAAUCUAAGAGAUUAGACGUUCCCUUCGGGGACAUGGAUACAGGUGGUGCAUGGUUGUCGUCAGCUCGUGUCGUGAGAUGUUGGGUUAAGUCCCGCAACGAGCGCAACCCUUAUUAUCAGUUGCCAGCAUUAAGUUGGGCACUCUGGUGAGACUGCCGGUGACAAACCGGAGGAAGGUGGGGAUGACGUCAAAUCAUCAUGCCCCUUAUGACCUGGGCUACACACGUGCUACAAUGGAUGGUACAACGAGUUGCGAACUCGCGAGAGUAAGCUAAUCUCUUAAAGCCAUUCUCAGUUCGGAUUGUAGGCUGCAACUCGCCUACAUGAAGUCGGAAUCGCUAGUAAUCGCGGAUCAGCAUGCCGCGGUGAAUACGUUCCCGGGCCUUGUACACACCGCCCGUCACACCAUGAGAGUUUGUAACACCCAAAGUCGGUGGGGUAACCUUUUAGGAACCAGCCGCCUAAGGUGGGACAGAUGAUUAGGUGAAGUCGAA